GACGAACCGUGCGAACGUUAUUCGGAAUCACUGGGCUUAAAGCGCGUGUAGGCGGCCCGGCGCGUCUUUCGCUGAAAUCCCCCGGCUUAACCGGGGAACUGGCGGAGAUACGACCGUCCUGGAGGGGCGUAGGGGGACCUGGAACUUCCGGUGGAGCGGUGAAAUGCGUUGAGAUCGGAAGGAACGCCCGUGGCGAAAGCGAGGUCCUGGACGCCUACUGACGCUGAGACGCGAAAGCCAGGGGAGCGAACGGG
This 254-nucleotide ribosomal RNA is filed under the name uncultured bacterium. RNAcentral describes it as "partial 16S ribosomal RNA". It matches the Rfam family "Bacterial small subunit ribosomal RNA", at positions 524 to 776 of the family's 1533-position model. The record is from RNAcentral.